RNAcentral lists this microRNA precursor (96 nucleotides) under Marmota monax (woodchuck). Lineage: Eukaryota; Metazoa; Chordata; Mammalia; Rodentia; Sciuridae. The record is from RNAcentral.
AGUAGAACAGCUGGAUCACAUGCACCUCCAUUUUUAAGAGGAACCACCAUGCUCUUUUCUAAUAUGGCUGUAUUAAUUUACAUUCCCACCAACAGU